This 732-nucleotide ribosomal RNA is filed under the name Streptomyces sp. DBT69. Its description in RNAcentral is "bacterial SSU rRNA". It matches the Rfam family "Bacterial small subunit ribosomal RNA", at positions 82 to 827 of the family's 1533-position model. The record is from RNAcentral. Lineage: Bacteria; Bacillati; Actinomycetota; Actinomycetes; Kitasatosporales; Streptomycetaceae.
UCGGUGGGGAUUAGUGGCGAACGGGUGAGUAACACGUGGGCAAUCUGCCCUGCACUCUGGGACAAGCCCUGGAAACGGGGUCUAAUACCGGAUACUGACCCUCGCAGGCAUCUGCGAGGUUCGAAAGCUCCGGCGGUGCAGGAUGAGCCCGCGGCCUAUCAGCUUGUUGGUGAGGUAAUGGCUCACCAAGGCGACGACGGGUAGCCGGCCUGAGAGGGCGACCGGCCACACUGGGACUGAGACACGGCCCAGACUCAUACGGGAGGCAGCAGUGGGGAAUAUUGCACAAUGGGCGAAAGCCUGAUGCAGCGACGCCGCGUGAGGGAUGACGGCCUUCGGGUUGUAAACCUCUUUCAGCAGGGAAGAAGCGAAAGUGACGGUACCUGCAGAAGAAGCGCCGGCUAACUACGUGCCAGCAGCCGCGGUAAUACGUAGGGCGCAAGCGUUGUCCGGAAUUAUUGGGCGUAAAGAGCUCGUAGGCGGCUUGUCGCGUCGGUUGUGAAAGCCCGGGGCUUAACCCCGGGUCUGCAGUCGAUACGGGCAGGCUAGAGUUCGGUAGGGGAGAUCGGAAUUCCUGAUGUAGCGGUGAAAUGCGCAGAUAUCAGGAGGAUCACCGGUGGCGAAGGCGGAUCUCUGGGCCGAUACUGACGCUGAGGAGCGAAAGCGUGGGGAGCGAACAGGAUUAGAUACCCUGAUAGUCCACGCCGUAAACGGUGGGCACUAGGUGUGGGG